This 588-nucleotide ribosomal RNA is filed under the name uncultured bacterium. Its description in RNAcentral is "partial 16S ribosomal RNA". It matches the Rfam family "Bacterial small subunit ribosomal RNA", at positions 355 to 933 of the family's 1533-position model. The record is from RNAcentral.
UGGGGAAUUUUGGGACAAUGGGCGAAAGCCUGAUCCAGCAAUGCCGCGUGCGUGAAGAAGGCCUUCGGGGUUGUAAAGCACUUUUGUCCGGAAAGAAAUCCUCUGGGUUAAUACCUCGGGGGGAUGACGGUACCGGAAGAAUAAGCACCGGCUAACUACGUGCCAGCAGCCGCGGUAAUACGUAGGGUGCAAGCGUUAAUCGGAAUUACUGGGCGUAAAGCGUGCGCAGGCGGUUUUGUAAGACGGAUGUGAAAUCCCCGGGCUUAACCUGGGAACUGCAUUCGUGACUGCAAGGCUAGAGUAUGGCAGAGGGGGGUAGAAUUCCACGUGUAGCAGUGAAAUGCGUAGAGAUGUGGAGGAAUACCGAUGGCGAAGGCAGCCCCCUGGGCCAAUACUGACGCUCAUGCACGAAAGCGUGGGGAGCAAACAGGAUUAGAUACCCUGGUAGUCCACGCCCUAAACGAUGUCAACUAGUUGUUGGGGAUUCAUUUCCUUAGUAACGUACUAACGCGUGAAGUUGACCGCCUGGGGGAGUACGGUCGCAAGAUUAAAACCUCAAAGGAAUUGACGGGGUCAUAGCUGAUUUCC